Molecule: long non-coding RNA, 358 nt
Filed under: Olea europaea subsp. europaea
Lineage: Eukaryota; Viridiplantae; Streptophyta; Magnoliopsida; Lamiales; Oleaceae
Source: RNAcentral
UCUGAAUUCAAUGUUUUUAUUUUUUCCGUGAAUUGGAUAAUAUGCUUAAUUUAGAAAUAAUUCAUAUUAGUAGUGGCAAGUUUAGUAUAUGUGAAGGUUUCUUCUUGUACAAUACUGGUUUGAUAUUUGUGGUUAAUUACUGGUUUACUGCUAUCAGAUGCUGAAGGAUUGUAGCAUUAUUGAAUGAUAGGUAGAAAGGCUUGCAUUUGAUGUGAGCUUGCUAAUUGUUAGGUUUUUUUUUAGCAUGGUUGAGUCGUUAGUAUGUUUCGUGCUAACAAAAAUAUAUUUCUCUCGAUGUACAUUAAGGUUAAUUGUUAGUUCUUAAUAUAGUAGAGUCGAGUCGUUAGUAUGUUUCGUG